UACGUAGGUGGCGAGCGUUAUCCGGAUUUACUGGGUGUAAAGGGCGCGUAGGCGGGAGAGCAAGUCAGGUGUGAAAUCUAUGGGCUUAACUCAUAAACUGCACUUGAAACUGUUUUUCUUGAGUGCUGGAGAGGUAGACGGAAUUCCUUGUGUAGCGGUGAAAUGCGUAGAUAUAAGGAAGAACACCAGUGGCGAAGGCGGUCUACUGGACAGUAACUGACGCUGAGGCGCGAAAGCGUGGGGAG
This 245-nucleotide ribosomal RNA is filed under the name uncultured Oscillospiraceae bacterium. RNAcentral's name for it is "partial 16S ribosomal RNA". It matches the Rfam family "Bacterial small subunit ribosomal RNA", at positions 524 to 768 of the family's 1533-position model. Lineage: Bacteria; Bacillati; Bacillota; Clostridia; Eubacteriales; Oscillospiraceae. The record is from RNAcentral.